RNAcentral lists this transfer RNA (72 nucleotides) under Phrynosoma platyrhinos (Desert horned lizard). RNAcentral describes it as "tRNA-OTHER". The record is from RNAcentral. Lineage: Eukaryota; Metazoa; Chordata; Lepidosauria; Squamata; Phrynosomatidae.
UGUAGUGUGGCACAGUGGUUUGAGUGCUGGACUAUGAUUCUGGAGACCAGUGUUCAGUUCCCAGCUCAGCCA